GAUGAAGAACGUAGCGAAAUGCGAUAAGUAAUGUGAAUUGCAGAAUUCAGUGUAUCAUCGAAUCUUUGAACGCACAUUGCGCCCCCCAGUAUUCUGGCGGGCAUGCCUGUUCGAGCGUCAUUUCAACCAUCAAGCCCUGCUUGUGUUGGGGUCCUGCGGCUGCCCGCAGGCCCUGAAAACCAGUGGCGGGCUCGCUAGUCACACCGAGCGCAGUAGCACAUCUCGCUCAGGGCGUGCGGCGGGCUCCAGCCGUUAAAGCACCCACCUUUCGCAAGGUUGACCUCGGAUCAGGUAGGAAUACCCGCUGAACUUAAGCAUAUCAAUAAGCGGAGGA
RNAcentral lists this unclassified non-coding RNA (334 nucleotides) under soil metagenome. Its description in RNAcentral is "partial contains 5.8S ribosomal RNA, internal transcribed spacer 2, and large subunit ribosomal RNA". The stretch from base 1 to 120 matches the Rfam family "5.8S ribosomal RNA", at positions 35 to 154 of the family's 154-position model. The record is from RNAcentral.